This 460-nucleotide ribosomal RNA is filed under the name uncultured bacterium. RNAcentral's name for it is "partial 16S ribosomal RNA". It matches the Rfam family "Bacterial small subunit ribosomal RNA", at positions 338 to 795 of the family's 1533-position model. The record is from RNAcentral.
CCUACGGGUGGCUGCAGUGAGGAAUAUUGGUCAAUGGACGAGAGUCUGAACCAGCCAAGUAGCGUGAAGGAUGACUGCCCUAUGGGUUGUAAACUUCUUUUAUAUGGGAAUAAAACGUUCCACGUGUGGGAUUUUGUAUGUACCAUAUGAAUAAGGAUCGGCUAACUCCGUGCCAGCAGCCGCGGUAAUACGGAGGAUCCGAGCGUUAUCCGGAUUUAUUGGGUUUAAAGGGAGCGUAGAUGGAUUGUUAAGUCAGUUGUGAAAGUUUGCGGCUCAACCGUAAAAUUGCAGUUGAAACUGGCAGUCUUGAGUACAGUAGAGGUGGGCGGAAUUCGUGGUGUAGCGGUGAAAUGCUUAGAUAUCACGAAGAACUCCGAUUGCGAAGGCAGUUCACUAGACUGCAACUGACAUUGAGGCUCGAAAGUGUGGGUAUCAAACAGGAUUAGAUACCCCAGUAGUC